This 760-nucleotide long non-coding RNA is filed under the name Salmo salar (Atlantic salmon). Its description in RNAcentral is "lncRNA (ENSSSAG00000103022.1)". Lineage: Eukaryota; Metazoa; Chordata; Actinopteri; Salmoniformes; Salmonidae. The record is from RNAcentral.
CGGUUAGAUACCAGCUCAGCGGUUAGAUACCAGCUCAGCGGUUAGAUACCAGUUCAGAGGUUAGAUACCAGUUCAGAGGAUAGAUACCAGUUCAGCGGUUAGAUACCAGUUCAGAGGUUAGAUACCAGUUCAGAGGUUAGAUACCAGUUCAGAGGUUAGAUACCAGUUCAGAGGUUAGAUACCAGCUCAGAGGUUAGAUACCGGCUCAGAGGUUAGAUACCAGUUCAGAGGUUAGAUACCAGUUCAGAGGUUAGAUACCAGUUCAGAGGUUAGAUACCAGUUCAGAGGUUAGAUACCGGCUCAGCGGUUAGAUACCAGCUCAGAGGUUAGAUACCAGUUCAGAGGUUAGAUACCAGUUCAGAGGUUAGAUACCAGCUCAGCGGUUAGAUACCAGCUCAGCGGUUAGAUACCAGUUCAGAGGUUAGAUACCAGCUCAGAGGUUAGAUACCAGUUCAGCGGUUAGAUACCAGUUCAGAGGUUAGAUACCAGUUCAGAGGUUAGAUACCAGUUCAGCGGUUAGAUACCAGUAGAUACCAGUUCAGAGGUUAGAUACCAGUUCAGCGGUUAGACCACCUUCCUCUGAUCAAGACAUGAACUGUCUCACUGAUGGGUUUUUUACGCUCAACAGUUUCCCGUGUGUAUCAAGGACCCCCAUACAGGUAUUCGGACACGGCCAAUGUCUCCAUGAAGGGAUAAAAUAUGUUUGAUAUGUAUUGGUACAACCUAGUGGUCAUCAACAAUAUUACAGCCUCAGAGAGAU